This 3648-nucleotide small RNA is filed under the name Histoplasma ohiense. Its description in RNAcentral is "hypothetical lncRNA". The record is from RNAcentral. Lineage: Eukaryota; Fungi; Ascomycota; Eurotiomycetes; Onygenales; Ajellomycetaceae.
AUCUACUGCUGCUAAUCUAUCGCUGCUGCUAAGCUAUCCCUCACUGCUAAUCUAUCACUGCUGCCAAUCUAUCUAUUGCUGCAAGCUAUUCCUCACUGCUAAGCUAUCGCCGCUAACCUCUCUAUUGCUGCAAGCUAUCCCUCGCUGCUAAGCUAUCACUGCCAAUCUAUCUAUCACUGCCAAUCUAUCUAUCACUGCCAACCUAUCUAUCACUGUCAAUUUAUCUACCACUGUCAAUCUAUCUAUCACUGCCAAUCUAUUGCUGCUAAUCUAUCACUGCUGUCAAUCUAUCUUUUGCUGCUAAUCUAUCACUGCUGUCAAUCUAUCUUUCACUGCUAAUCUAUCUCUUGCUGCUAAGCUAUCCCUCACUGCUAAGCUAUUCCUUGCUGCUAAGCUAUCCCUCACUACUAAGCUAUCUAUCACUGUCAAUCUAUCUAUUGCUGCUAAUCUAUCACUGCUAAUCUAUCGCUGCUAAUCUAUUGCUGCUAAUCUAUUGCUGCUAAUCUAUUGCUGCUAAUCUAUUGCUGCUAAUCUAUUGCUGCUAAUCUAUUGCUGUCAAUCUAUUGCUGCCAAUCUAUCUACCGCGGCGAAUCUAUCUAUCACUAUCAUUACUAGUUCAAAAUAGAACUAGAGCAUAAAUACACUAAACUUCUUUUGAUAGAUAAUGAUUUUUGAUAACACUCAUAGCAUUAUAUCAUCUAUAUAGGGUAAAUCAUGGUCUCAUUUGGUUCCAUUUUAACAAAAUGAGAUCAAAUGAGAUCAGAAUCAGUAAUUUAUAAGAAGAAUAUGAUCUGGGACUAGAUUUAUAAUAUAAACAGUGUAAAGUGACUAAUUUAAUAAACACUAUAUGAGACCAGAACUAAGAAAUUUGAUAAUGGAACUGGAGAAAUAUUUAGUCCCAGUCCCAUGCAUGGUCACACAGCCAGUCUAGAAGUAUGAGAUGAAAGAAUCAUUGAAAGCUGUAACAAACAUACUUCAAUUAACAAUUUGAUACUAUUCUAAUUACAGAUUACAAAAUGAUUAAGAAAAGAAAGAGAAAAGAAUGUGAUGAGUUAGCAUCUGUUAGUAAUUAACUUAUGCAAUCAACUCCCCUUCUGCACCCGCUUGUUCCUGGCCAUUGUUACCUUGUGUAACUCUCAAUGUUCUUCCACUCCAUGCUUCACACUCAUGUAGUUUCUAAUGAUUCUUCUGUAUAGCUUUUAAUGUUCUUCUGCUCUGUGCUCUGCACUUGUGUAGUCUCUAACAAUUCUUUUAUAUAGUUUCUUACAUUCUCUCACUCUGUGUUCUGCACUUGUGUAGUCUCUAAUGAUUCUUCUGCAUAGCUCUCAAUGAUUCUCUCAUCUCAUGUUUCACACUUGUGUAGCUUCUAAUGAUUCUUAUGUGUAUCUUUUAAUAUUCUUUCACUUCACAUUUCACUGUGGAGCAGCUUCUGAUAUUCUUUCACUCUGAACUUUUCUCUAUAAGAAUUCUCUUCAUAUAAUCUUUUCUUCUGAUUUCUUUUCUCUUUCUUUUCUUAAUCAAUUCAUAAUCUGUAAUUAGAAUAGUAUCAAAUUGUUAAUCAAAGUACAUUCAUUAUAUUAUGAAUUGAUUCUUCUGCAUUUAAGAUCUGAGUGUUUUGUUAUUAGUUCUUAUACUUAAGUGCAUUGUUAUCAGUUCUUACACUCAAGUGUGUUGUUUAUAGAUCUGAGUAUCUAGUUGUUACAAGAGAUUUCUCAUGAAUCUGAGUGUUCUUAUCAUUAGUUAUAUAGACUGUUGUGUCUAAGCAUUUGAAACACAAUCAAUUAUGUUCUAUGAGGCUUGAGUGUCUAUGAACUGUAACACUGUGAAUAGUGUUCACAAAGAAGCUUGAUCAAACUUAGUGCUGCAACACUGUGAAUAGUGUCUGCAAGAGAAUCAAGUGUCUACAAGUAUUUCUUUUCUUUUUUUUUAUUAUAUAUUUUUAGAUAUCAAAAUGAACUACAAGCAAUUCUACAAACAUUCAUCACAUUCAAAUGCAGUGAAUGAUAACUUAGAUCUACAAAGCAUUCUUCAGCAGCAGAUGCUACAGAUGACUGAAUUGCAAUGAUGAUUUGCUGAGAUGAGUAUUUCUGUGUUCAUUAUUUCUUCUACACUCACAUCUCACAAAAAGCUCUCAAGAGAGAAGCUUUCAAUUUUCAAUAAAUAUGAGAGAGAUCUAGUGCUCUACCUUGCAUGAAAGUCAAAAGCAAAUGUCAAAUUGGACAUCAAUGAACAAGCAAUAGGCUUGCUAUUCAAUCAAGUGUGGUAUAUUUAUAGCAGAUUGAAUGGUGAUGCAUUAGCAAAAUUUCAACUCUGAAUGAGUCAUUGUCAGAAUCAUCAGUGUACAUCAGAGCUAGUCUUCUGACAACUCAACUCUCUCUUUCUUGAUUCUAUACUUCAAAUCAAGAUGUUAGACUGACUUAAUCAAACUCAUCAGAUGAAUGUUGUGUUUAGACUGAUUGAUGGAAUCAUGAAUUUCAUGUUUGAUUUGAUUUGGUUUGGUCCCAGUCCAUUUCUUGGCGUGAUUUUCAGUGGGAUCAGAAUCAGAAUAGAAGUGUAAAGUGACUAGAAUUAUUAGAACAUGAGUGAAAUGAGACUAAUAAAUCUUGAUAUUUCAUGUAAAGUGACUGACUAUCAAAAAUAAGAACAUGACCUGGGACUGACUAUGAUUUUGACUGAGGUUUGGUCCCAUUCUGAUGAUUAUAUAAUACAUAUCUUAGAUAUCAAUCUGAUGAUAUGAUUGGUGGAGAUAUCACCUCUAUCUAGUGCUGUCAAUCAAUUUGCCUCUGUCAAUCUAUCUACUGCUGCUAAUCUAUUGCCACUGCUAAGCUAUUCCUUGCUGCUAAUCUAUCACCACUGCCAAUCUAUCUAUUGCUGCAAGCUAUCCCUUGCUGCUAAACUAUCACCACUAACCUCUCUAUUGCUGCAAGCUAUCCCUUGCUGCUAAGCUAUCACUGCCAAUCUAUCUAUCACUGCCAAUCUAUCUAUCACUGCCAACUUAUCUAUCACUGCUAAUUUAUCUACCACUGUCAAUCUAUCUAUCACUGUCAAUCUAUUGCUGCUAAUCUAUCGCUGCUGCCAAUCUAUCUUUUGCUGCUAAUCUAUCACUGCUGCCAAUCUAUCUUUCACUGCUAAUCUAUCUCUCACUGCUAAGCUAUCCCUCACUGCUAAGCUAUCCCUCACUGCUAAGCUAUCCCUCACUACUAAGCUAUCUAUCACUGCCAAUCUAUCUAUCACUGCUAAUCUAUCGCUGCUAAUCUAUCGCUGCUAAUCUAUUGCUGCUAAUCUAUCGCUGCUAAUCUAUCGCUGCUAAUCUAUCACUGCUAAUCUAUCGCUGCUAAUCUAUCACUGCCAACCUAUCGCUGCCAACCUAUCUACCGCGGCGAAUCUAUCUAUCACUAUCAUUACUAGUUCAAAAUAGAACUAGAGCAUAAAUACACUAAACUUCUUUUGAUAGGUAAUGAUUUUUGGUAACACUCAUAGCAUUAUAUCAUCUAUAUAGGGUAAAUCAUGGUCCCAUUUGGUCCCAUUUUAACAAAAUGGGACCAAAUGGAAUCAGAAUCAGUAAUUUAUAAGAAGAACAUGACCUGGGACUAGAUUUAUAAUAUAAACAGUGUAAAGUGACUAAUUUAAUAAACACUAUAUGGGACC